AUACAUCUGUCUUGUCUUUUCAUUUCACAGUCUCUUCUUCCUUUUGAUCUCUCUCCCUCUCAAAACCAUCUGCAUCUCUCAUUUUUCUAUAAACAUGAACCCUAAAAGCACCAAAACAGAAACAAAGAUUAACCAAAACACUGAUAAAAUAGCAUGGACGGAAGAUGCGAUUAGGGUUUCACAUAUCUCAUUCUUAUCCGCCUCCGCCUCUCUCUCUCUCUCUCUCUCUCUCUCUCUCUCUCUCUUCCCCCUCACCCUCUCUCUAGCGACGAUUCAAAAACUGCAAGCGAUUGAUGAAGAUUUCACCAGAUCCAUUCUGAUUCUGCUAUCAUCGGCGGCUAUAGAUGGUGGUUGUCUGGUUAGGUUAGCCAUUUCGACUACUCGACAUCCCUAAGAACGAUGGAGAAGAGGUGCAGCUGAGACAAUAAUGUUAUAGUUUAUGGGAAUACGAACAAGUUAUGUUAACUAAGGUAUUUGGUGGUUGUCAUUCAUUCAUUGUGCAUGCUUACUAUGAAGGUAUGUAAUAUUAGAAAAAGGUAUGUAAUAUUAGAAGAAGGUAUGUAUGGAUAAUUAAUAUGUGUUCUUUUUUUUUUCUGUUUUUGGUUCCUUGACUUCCCUUCAUAUUAUUAGAGUCAAGAUCUUAAAUGAAAAAUU
RNAcentral lists this long non-coding RNA (654 nucleotides) under Helianthus annuus (common sunflower). The record is from RNAcentral. Lineage: Eukaryota; Viridiplantae; Streptophyta; Magnoliopsida; Asterales; Asteraceae.